UCAAUAUCUCAAAUGAUAAUU
RNAcentral lists this non-coding RNA (21 nucleotides) under Caenorhabditis elegans. Lineage: Eukaryota; Metazoa; Nematoda; Chromadorea; Rhabditida; Rhabditidae. The record is from RNAcentral.